Molecule: small nucleolar RNA, 122 nt
Organism: Mesocricetus auratus (golden hamster)
Lineage: Eukaryota; Metazoa; Chordata; Mammalia; Rodentia; Cricetidae
Source: Ensembl
UGGUCAUUACCAAGGCUUUGAGAAAAUUCAGUUUCUCAUUUGCUGUGGACAUGACCAUAAAAAAAUUCCCAUUAGGUUUUGUAUGUGCUACUUGUCUAGCUGUUAACCUGUUGGGGACAUUC